UACGGAGGGGGCCAGCGUUAUUCGGAAUUAUUGGGCGUAAAGGGCGCGUAGGCGGCUAGAUGUGUCAAAGGUGAAAUCCCUCGGCUCAACUGAGGAACUGCCUUUGAAACUGUCUGGCUUGAGGCCGGGAGAGGGUAGCGGAAUUCCCAGUGUAGCGGUGAAAUGCGUAGAUAUUGGGAGGAACACCGGUGGCGAAGGCGGGUUGCUGGGCUGAUACUGACGCUGAGGCGCGAAAGCCAGGGGAGCGAACGGG
RNAcentral lists this ribosomal RNA (253 nucleotides) under uncultured bacterium. RNAcentral describes it as "partial 16S ribosomal RNA". It matches the Rfam family "Bacterial small subunit ribosomal RNA", at positions 524 to 776 of the family's 1533-position model. The record is from RNAcentral.